This 254-nucleotide long non-coding RNA is filed under the name Vigna radiata. Its description in RNAcentral is "long non-coding RNA (VRAD_LNC002292)". Lineage: Eukaryota; Viridiplantae; Streptophyta; Magnoliopsida; Fabales; Fabaceae. The record is from RNAcentral.
UAAUGUCCUGACCUAAAUACUUCACACAUUUACUAUUACCCACUGAAGAAUGCUUCAAGUUUAUGCUUUCACCAUCUAAACUCAAUCCUAUUCCUGAACAAAAUUCAUUUUCAUUGAUAUUGAAAUGCUUGUUUGCAAUAAUAAAAGAGUUGGUGGAAUCCACCCAUGUCUUGGUUAACUCACGCAAAAGUUUAACAUUCAAUGUCACUUUACCACUGAACUCUAAAAACAAAAAAAAUGGAGUCUUGGAGAUG